RNAcentral lists this long non-coding RNA (1026 nucleotides) under Salvia miltiorrhiza (redroot sage). RNAcentral describes it as "long non-coding RNA (SMIL_LNC012878)". Lineage: Eukaryota; Viridiplantae; Streptophyta; Magnoliopsida; Lamiales; Lamiaceae. The record is from RNAcentral.
CAUAACAGCAUAAAACACGAUGCUGCAAUCAAGAGAGCCAGACUCAAUACAUAUGAAAAGAUGAAACACACACACACACACUUCCCUAAACUAGAAUGGUUACCUUAAAAUUUUCAAACAUCUAAUCGUGCGAAAAUUCUUAAGCAGCAAAGAAAUUCAAAUAAAUGAAAAGAUGUAUAACAGCAUAAAGACAUGAUGCUGCAGUCAACCUUAAACAAGUUAUAAUUCGCAGCAUUCAAAAACAUUUUUUCCUUAAAGAAUUUGCUUCACUACACAGAAUUCUAGGUAGAUGCAUCACAAACAACACCAAAUGGAAAAGAACUGGGGGGGGGGGGAACACACACACACACACACAUACACAUACACACAAUUUAGCAAAUAAAAUAAAGGGCAACCUUAAAAAUUAUUAAUUGCACCUCUAAUUUGAUUGAAAUCGAAAAGGGACAAUUUCAAGAAGAAACCAAAUUCAAUUAAAACAAACAGUGAAGUUUUGCGUCACAAAUUAAUUCCAACUCAUCAUCAGAAAUUCAGAACUACCUUCAAACCAGAAACACAACAAAUCAAGACCCAAAAAAAAGAGAAACAAGAAAGAUGCUACCUUUGGACAACUAAGAAUUGGAGGCUCGAGAAUCUUGCUGGAUUCAACAGUGAUCUUUCUCUUUGAAAAUGGGAGAAGAGGGGUUUAUAUCAAGAAACAGAGCUACUACAAAUUCCAGAGCAGCACAGUUUGACAGUGCUGAGAUGUGGCAUCUUUGGAGCCAAGAUGAGUAGGAUUUUGGGCACCAAUUGAAUGUGAAAAUUAAAUAAAAUUAAUGGAGGUGAUUGUGCAUAGGUUAGGCAGUUGCAAAAAAUGGUUCGGUUUUUGGCUUCUUUUGCGUUUGGACAUUGUUUGUUAUGGCUACGAAUAUGCUAUCCAUUCACAACACCAUUUUUGUUUAAUUUAAAUAUUCUCUCUCUCGAUGAGAGACUUGGUUUAGGUAUUUCUUUCUGGUCUGCUAUUAGAUGUUAUAGUUAUUCUGAUUCAAG